This is an RNA transcript of Mesitornis unicolor (brown roatelo), 741 nucleotides long. It is a transcript of the gene named TBC1 domain family member 14 pseudogene, with no coding region annotated. The transcript has a single exon. The record is from RefSeq and is a predicted model, not a curated record. NCBI's taxonomy places the organism in Eukaryota, Metazoa, Chordata, Aves, Mesitornithiformes, Mesitornithidae.
GUUACCAGUUGGGCCAAGACAGCUGAUGUGAAUUUAUCCAACUCCUUAAAUGGUUUGAGCUUCAUGGGAAUUCUGGACGCAAGAGUGGGCAGUGGUGUCCAGGCCCUUCAAAACUUGAACUCUGGGACCCCGAGAUCUCUCUCACUGGCUGAGUAUGGGCCUGGCCAGCUCUCCAGUGCUAUAGAAGAUUGUCAUAGCCUUAAAUCAGUGGAUUCUGGUAUUCCGACUCUAGAAAUAGGAAAUCCAGAGCCUGUUCACUGCAGCGUGUUAAAUGUGAAGAGAAAGCAGUCGGAGCCUGAAAUUAUGCCUGACAGGGCUUUUCAGAGUGCGUGCCCGCUGCCGUCGUAUGUGCCUCCACAUCCUCUGACUUCUGAACGUGACCAUGCCGUGCGAAAAUCCUCGACUUUCCCAAGAACUGGGUAUGACACUGUCAAACUUUACAGUCCAACCUCAAAGACUCUGAAUCGAAGUGAUGAUAUCUCUGUCUGUAGUGUUUCCAGUCUUAGCACAGAGCUGUCAACAACUUUAUCAGUUAGCAAUGAAGACAUUUUGGACUUUGUGGUCACAAGCAGUUCAAGUGCAAUUGUGAAUCUCGAGACUGAUGAGGCACACUUCUCGGAUGUUACCCUGAAUUCCACUAAAGAGAGCAAUGAUCAGAGCCAGCAGGAGUGUUGUCAAGAGACAGAUGUGGACAGUAAGCGAAAAAUUUUGGGACCUUUUACAAGCUUCUUUGCCAGGUAA